This is a non-coding RNA of Xyrichtys novacula (pearly razorfish), 653 nucleotides long. Lineage: Eukaryota; Metazoa; Chordata; Actinopteri; Labriformes; Labridae. The record is from the annotation of a GenBank genome assembly.
ACAGUUGUGGGAAAAUCUUCGCCCACUGGACCAAAGAAUGUCAAGAGCUCAUUGCUGGAAAGCAUACUCCGGUCUUCAGUCUAAAGAGGAAGGCAGAGCAGCAGGACAUAGAGGUUAGAAAAUUGCCUUGUAAAAACAGUAUUAUCUCAGUGGGAGUCCUUCAAAAUGCACACAGUUGUAUGGAUCAACAUUGUCUCGAUGUAUUUGGUAAUUGAUGUUACUUUUCAAAUUGCCUUGUCAAGGAAACCAUGACGCAGACGGUAUCGGAUGUCCAAAGAAUGUGCAUGGCAGAUUCAAUGCAAUUCUGUGUCUACCAGACAUCGAACAACACAGGAGAGGGGUGUGUUGCAGACUCAAUUUAAUAAAUGCAAUUAUCGGGGCCUAUUCAGUGAUUUUCCAUGAAGUGACCACUUUUACAUAUAGUUUAAAUGCACGAAUCAUGCAGGAAAAUUAUUUAUACAUUCAAAUGUGCUGCAGAGGUAUAAUCAAUUGGACAGCGUGUUUGUUUGAUAUUAUGUUUGUCUCUCAUUUGAUCAGAUUGCUUUACCCUGAGGUAAACGUCAUAAAAUGGGUCCAGUGCAAGACGUGCAGGGGCUGGCUGCAUCAGGAUUGUGCUGGGAUUGAAAUGGAGCCGUUUGACUGCGGGUGCGAGG